This 253-nucleotide ribosomal RNA is filed under the name uncultured bacterium. RNAcentral's name for it is "partial 16S ribosomal RNA". It matches the Rfam family "Bacterial small subunit ribosomal RNA", at positions 524 to 776 of the family's 1533-position model. The record is from RNAcentral.
UACGUAGGGGGCAAGCGUUGUUCGGAGUUACUGGGCGUAAAGGGUGUGUAGGCGGUUCUUUAAGUUUGGUGUGAAAUCUCCCGGCUCAACUGGGAGGGUGCGCCGAAUACUGAGGGACUAGAGUACGGGAGAGGAAAGUGGAAUUCCUGGUGUAGCGGUGAAAUGCGUAGAUAUCAGGAGGAACACCGGUGGUGUAGACGGCUUUCUGGACCGACACUGACGCUGAGACACGAAAGCGUGGGUAGCAAACAGG